RNAcentral lists this ribosomal RNA (475 nucleotides) under Grania maricola. RNAcentral describes it as "partial 16S ribosomal RNA". It matches the Rfam family "Bacterial large subunit ribosomal RNA", at positions 1824 to 2596 of the family's 2925-position model. Lineage: Eukaryota; Metazoa; Annelida; Clitellata; Enchytraeida; Enchytraeidae. The record is from RNAcentral.
UGCUAUAUGCUCAUCCAAUAUAAAGUAAUCUCCUGCCCAGUGACUAAAUCAACGGCCGCGGUAUCCUAACCGUGCAAAGGUAGCAUAAUAACUUGUCUAUUAAUUGUAGACUAGAAUGAAAGGGGUAACGAAAUAAGAACUGUCUCAUUAAACUACUUAUAAACUAUUCUAAAAGUGAAGAAACUUUUAUAUUAUUAAAGGACAAGAAGACCCUAUAGAGCUUAAUCACAACAUUAUAACUUAUAAUUUUAGAUUCGGUUGGGGCGACCAAGGAAAAUUCAUCCUAUUCACAUUUGAUAUAUUAAUCACUAUUUGAUCCAUUUUAUGAACAUAAAAUCAAGCUACCUUAGGGAUAACAGGCUAAUCCUUCUUCAGAGUUCUUAUUAACAGAGGGGAUUGGCACCUCGCAUGUUGGCUUAGAUUUCCUUAGUGACGCAAAAGUCAUAUAAGGGGGUUUGUUCAACCCUUUAUUAUC